RNA transcript from Gigantopelta aegis, 2769 nucleotides. It is a transcript of the gene named pyruvate kinase PKM-like, with no coding region annotated. The transcript has 14 exons. Lineage: Eukaryota; Metazoa; Mollusca; Gastropoda; Neomphalida; Peltospiridae. The record is from RefSeq and is a predicted model, not a curated record.
CGGCAGAAGAUGUUUUUGUGUUGUUUUUUCUGACUGGGUUCAGAUUUGGUUUUAUUCUUGCUAAAUUUACUGUGACAACCGAGUCGUUGAGUUUAUAAGACAUCGAUAACAUCACUGUUGUUACAGCUAUAAAAUCAACAUGUCGAGUGAAGUUACUAUUACAGUUAGUUCUCAGGGUGAGCGAGCCAGUGCGCUGGGCGACUCAGGUGGCAUCGGAGGGCAGGAGUUGCCCUCCAAGAAAGCUUUCACCCGCCUCGAACAUAUCUGUGAGCUGGACAUAGACACGGUGGUUCACACCUGUAAACGAACUGGCGUCAUUGGGACUAUCGGUCCUGCAUGUAACACUGUUGAUCAGCUUGCAGAGAUGAUUGAAAAGGGAAUGGAUAUCGUGCGUAUCAACAUGGCGUAUGGAUCUUUUGAGUACAACAAACAGGCCGUGGAAAACAUACGAGAAGCUGAAAGUCGUGUGAACCAGAAAAUCCUGAAACCUGUUGCAAUCGCCGUCGACCUCCUGGGACCGAGGGCGCGGGUGGGAUCCUACAAACCGGAGUUGAGUCGUCGUAUAAAGCUGAACGUGGGUGAACGAGUGAAGUUCACGAGUGACAUUGCUAUGAAGGACAAGGGGGAGCGUGACCACAUGUAUGUGAAUGACGCGGACUUCAUUCAACGCACCAAGGUCGGUGACCAGAUCUACAUACAGGACGGACCGCUGCGAGUCGUGGUUGACGAGAAAGGGGAAGGCUUCUUGAUGUGUACUGUGGACUCCAGUGGAAUUAUGGGUAGUCAUGAACAGGUGCACGUUCCCAGGUCAUUACCGGGGAAGGCGCAGUUAUCGGAAAUAGACAAGAGAAUUAUUCAGUUUACACUAGACAAUGAUUGUGAUAUGAUAUUCGCAUCGUUCGUGUAUGACCCAAUUACAAUAACUCAGAUUCGAAUGGAGCUGGGAACUAAAGCCGAUCAGAUUAAAGUAAUCGCCAAGAUCGAAAACUACGAGGGAGUCAAAAAGUUUGAGGAGAUUAUGCGCCUGUCUGAUGGAGCGAUGAUAGCAAGAGGUGACCUUGGCAUUGAUUUUCCGCCCGAGAAAGUGUUCCUGGCCCAGAAGAAUCUGAUUGGUGUCGCUAACCGACUGGGAAAACCAGUCAUCUGUGCAGCACAGAUGUUGGACAGUAUGGAGUUUAACCCUCGUCCAACCAGAGCAGAAGCCAGUGAUGUGGCUAACGCCAUUCUCGACGGAGCCGACUGUGUUCUUUUGUCAAAGGAAACAGCAGCAGGAAAACACCCAAUAAAGUCGCUGGAAACUAUCGUCUCAAUCUGCCAUGAAGCUGAAGCAGCGGUAUUCAGUGAUAAUCUGUUCCGACAGCUCCGCACUCUGACAGUGACACCGUGCGACGGUACGCAGACGAUUGCCAUCGCCGCGGUAGAGGCUGCACUCAGAUGUCAGGCAUCAGCCAUCUUGGUGAUCACCACUACCGGCAGGUCAGCCGGUUUGGUUGCACAGUAUCGCCCUCACUGCUCUAUCAUUGCCGUCACGCGAUCCCCAAGCGUCGCCAAAUCUCUCCACCUGCAUCGUGGGAUCUACCCCAUUCUAUAUGAAGAGGAGAAAUGUGAUGACUGGGCGGAGGACAUCGACAAUCGUUUCCACAAGGGCCUGGUCGUGGCGCGCCAGCUAAAGGUCGUGUCGCCCGGCAACAUUGCCAUUCUCGUCACAGGGUGGAUGCCGGGGACGGGCUCAACCAACACCAUCCGUACUAUCACCGUGGGCGACAUGGAUAAACAUCAGUCGUUCACCCAGCUCACUCAAUGACCUCAAAAGUUCUAAUCAUGACUGAUUUUGGCCCCUGAGACAAUUGUGGAUCUGUCACUGGAAGAACUGUUGUGGAGGUGCAUACUGUGCUGCUUUUACACCAUGAAUAUUUGACGGUGCAUCUCCUUUGACCCGGAACUCUCUUCUUUGGUACUGUGCAAUCUAGAAGCAUUGGUCGACAGAGACCAUCAAGUACAGACAACUGAGGACAAGUCUGCAAGCUUUGGUCGACUGAGACUACAAGUUAUUGAGUGCUAUGUUUUCUGAUUUCAUUUUCAUCUGGAACAUUAAUUUGAUUUUGUUUUUUGAAAUUUGUGAUUUUAGUGCUAACCAAAAACUGUUCCCGUUUUUAUUCUUUGAUGAACAGCUUACAGUGACCCUCUACUUUCGAAGACACAGCAACAUUUUCUAAUCUUUUUGUCUCUGAACUUUAUCCAGGGCUCGAAUUUACAGAUGGCACUGUCAACAAUUGCCUUAUAGCUGCAAUAUGAAUUGCCAUAGGUCGGGGACCUUACCAAUGGCAGGUUGUUUUUUUUGCAACUGGAUAACUAUUCCCAUCCGUUGAAAGGAUAAUUUGAAAGAUUUAUUUUCGCUUUUAUUUGUUGUAAAUGUUACUGGUUUAAAAUUGUUGUAAGCAGAAUCAAAAUUGCUGUAAGAAAGCGUUUUGCCUUGGGCAAAAUUAUUUCAAAAUUGCUAUUGGUAACUAAUUCCUAAUUUCGAGCCCUGUUAAUCUGUGAUUUUAUAGAGCUAUCUGUCUCAAGAUAAGACGAGAACCACUCUCUGUGACAAUGUAUACAACUGUACACACGUGUGUAUGUACAGCACAGUAAUUAAAAGAGCUGUCCUGAGUUUGUUGCAGUGUUAUUCCAUUUUUUAAAUAUUUAUUUUCCCCCAGUCCAUUCUGACCAUGUCAAGGUUGGGGAGCCUUGAAUUCAUGGCCUUACAUCAAAGUAAUAUAAUUUAUA